This is a non-coding RNA of Caenorhabditis elegans, 21 nucleotides long. The record is from Ensembl. NCBI's taxonomy places the organism in Eukaryota, Metazoa, Nematoda, Chromadorea, Rhabditida, Rhabditidae.
UUGUUUCUCCGUACUUUUGGA